RNAcentral lists this long non-coding RNA (393 nucleotides) under Volvox carteri. RNAcentral's name for it is "long non-coding RNA (VCAR_LNC000484)". The record is from RNAcentral. Lineage: Eukaryota; Viridiplantae; Chlorophyta; Chlorophyceae; Chlamydomonadales; Volvocaceae.
GCAGUAGCAGGUAUAGCAGGUAUAGCAGCAGCAGCAGUAGCAGGUAUAGCAGCAGCAGCAGCAGCAGCAGGAGCAGGUAUAGCAGCAGCAGCAGUAGCAGCAGUAGCAGCAGUAGCAGGAAUAGCAGCAGUAGCAGGUAUAGCAGGUAUAGCAGCAGCAGCAGCAGUAGCAGGUAUAGCAGCAGCAGCAGCAGCAGGAGCAGGUAUAGCAGCAGCAGCAGCAGUAGCAGCAGUAGCAGGAAUAGCAGCAGCAGCAGCAGGAGCAGGUAUAGCAGCAGCAGCAGGAGCAGGGUUAGCAGCAGUUAGGUGUGUUGCGUGUUGGGUUUGGUUUGACUCUCCCAUCGUCUGCCCCAUCCAGCCCUUAUCGCCAGCUUGAUUCCUAUGCCUAGACCCC